Molecule: ribosomal RNA, 233 nt
Filed under: uncultured bacterium
Lineage: Bacteria
Description: partial 16S ribosomal RNA
Rfam family: Bacterial small subunit ribosomal RNA
Source: RNAcentral
UGAGCAACCUACCGAUUUGAGGGGGAUAGCUGGCCUAACGGCCAGGUAAUACCGCAUACGCUCAUAAAGCCUCCUGGCUUAAUGAGGAAACCCUCCGGGGCAGAUCGAGGGGCUCGCGGCCUAUCAGCUAGUUGGUGAGGUCAUAGCUCACCAAGGCGACGACGGGUAGCUGGUCUGAGAGGAUGGCCAGCCACAGUUGGGACUGAGACUACGGCCCAGACCUCGUACGGGAA